AGUGGAAGCGCCUGGGAGCGCGCCCUUCCGCCAGGCGCUUCCGGGCGGGUGCUGCGAGGCGACCGCGGGCGUGUGGCGAGGCUCCCUUUGUGGCGGCUGAGGCACGGUGGUCCGCACGUGCUCCAGUGUAGUUUGGGCCCUCGCUCCACGUCCCGAGCCGCGCCACUAUUGUUCAGCCUCCCAUUGCCGCGGAUGGGGGCUUAUUCUCGUCGUUAUGCCUUUAAAGGGCAACUCAUCCCCUCCUCCUGGCGUCUCAGGCACUGGCCGGGCUAUAACUCAUGGCUGGGCGGCCCUGCGUGGGUCGCCGUGGGCAUUUUCUGUGGAAAUAGCUUUGGUUCCCAGCCGUCAGGCACAGACACGCCCCGGUUUGUUUUCGUUCAGGCAUGUGACCAGGCGGGAGGGUCUCCCGCGGAGUUUCGCUGAGAAUUUUGGAAAUGAAGCACGUGGAGCGCCUAUGUAGGGGUAGAGAGGCCGAGCUGAAAGGAGCACGGGCGCCGGCCUCAGCCUGUGGGGAGCCGGGCCCGCUCGCCUCCCUGCGUCUGGCUAGCCCGAGCCUGGAACUCGGGAAGCCCAGGAGCGAAGUGAAAGCCCCUUCUGGUCUCUCAGGGCUCCACUCCCGCAGCAGCCCGGCUCCGUCGGCGUCAGUGGAGCCCCAGGCCUGGGUCCGAGUUGAGCGAGACGCUGCCCUGGCUCGCGAUUGCCCGGGCGCUCCCAAAACCAGGGAACAGUCCCCAGGAGAGAAGUCCCUGAAGUUUCCUGGAGCAGGGAAUCUCCAAGAUCCUGUUCUGCAAAGGAAUCUGGACUUUAUUCUAAGGGCCGUGGAGAACCCCUGCAAAGUUUUUUAAAAGGUAGACUAAGAGAUUGGCA
This is a non-coding RNA of Chlorocebus sabaeus (green monkey), 867 nucleotides long. NCBI's taxonomy places the organism in Eukaryota, Metazoa, Chordata, Mammalia, Primates, Cercopithecidae. The record is from RefSeq and is a predicted model, not a curated record.